UGGGGAAUAUUGCACAAUGGGCGAAAGCCUGAUGCAGCAACGCCGCGUGAGUGAUGAAGGCCUUCGGGUUGUAAAGCUCUGUCUUUUGGGACGAUAAUGACGGUACCAAAGGAGGAAGCCACGGCUAACUACGUGCCAGCAGCCGCGGUAAUACGUAGGUGGCAAGCGUUGUCCGGAUUUACUGGGCGUAAAGGAUGCGUAGGCGGAUUUUUAAGUGAGAUGUGAAAACCCUAAGCUUAACUUGGGGACUGCAUUUCAUACUGGAAAUCUAGAGUGCGGGAGAGGAGAAUGGAAUUCCUAGUGUAGCGGUGAAAUGCGUAGAGAUUAGGAAGAACACCAGUGGCGAAGGCGAUUCUCUGGACCGUAACUGACGCUGAGGCAUGAAAGCGUGGGUAGCAAAACAGGAUUAGAUACCCCUGGUAGUCCACGCCGUAAACGAUGAGUACUAGGUGUAGGAGGUAUCGACCCCUUCUGUGCCGCAGUUAACACAAUAAGUAUCUCCGCUGGGAAGUACGAUCGCAAGAUUAAAAACUCAAAUGAAUUGACGGGGGUCAUAGCUGUUUUUCCU
Molecule: ribosomal RNA, 568 nt
Filed under: uncultured bacterium
Lineage: Bacteria
Description: partial 16S ribosomal RNA
Rfam family: Bacterial small subunit ribosomal RNA
Source: RNAcentral